Molecule: ribosomal RNA, 461 nt
Filed under: uncultured bacterium
Lineage: Bacteria
Description: bacterial SSU rRNA
Rfam family: Bacterial small subunit ribosomal RNA
Source: RNAcentral
AUUGAACGCUGGCGGCAGGCUUAACACAUGCAAGUCGAGCGCGUAGCAAUACGAGCGGCAGACGGGUGAGUAACGCGUGGGAAUCUACCCAACCCUACGGAAUAACGCAUGGAAACGUGUGCUAAUACCGUAUACGCCCUUAGGGGGAAAGAUUUAUCGGGGAUGGAUGAGCCCGCGUUGGAUUAGCUAGUUGGUGGGGUAAUGGCUCACCAAGGCGACGAUCAGUAGCUGGUCUGAGAGGAUGAUCAGCCACACUGGGACUGAGACACGGCCCAGACUCCUACGGGAGGCAGCAGUGGGGAAUAUUGGACAAUGGGCGCAAGCCUGAUCCAGCCAUGCCGCGUGAGUGACGAAGGUCUUCGGAUUGUAAAGCUCUUUUUGGCGGGGACGAGUAAUGACGGUACCCGCAGAAGUAANCCCCGGCUAACUUCGUGCCAGCAGCCGCGGUAAUGUGACUACUG